AUUUUUAAUUAAUAGGAUUUAAUUUGAUUUAAUUAAGUAUAUUUUUGUGAGCAUUUAAAUUUAGUGCUUAAAUAAUUUUUUGUGGAAAAUAAAAUUUAGCGUAAGUUUAGCAACCUUGAUUGUGCAUUCAUGCUGGAGCAUAUUUUAUGUUAUGCUUGUUGCUUUUAGUUAGAAAUUAUUUGCACACAAAACCCUAUUUGGAAAAAUGUUUUGGAAAUAAAAAAAGAAAAAAGGGAUCUCUCUCUCGGCCGAUCGCCUAUUCCCAGAAACGGCCCAAACUCCCGCAGCUCGGCCCAGCACACACGCGCCCUCUCCCUCCCCUUCUUACACUUACGCGCGGACCCCACGUCUAGAGUCGCUGACGGCUUGGUCCCACUUGUCAGUGUCUUCCCCUUUCUCUUCCUUCUUCUUACUCACGUGUUCAACUGGGACUCCAGGACGAUGGAUCGGUCCCGGAAACUCGGGAUUUACCUGCCCC
This 478-nucleotide long non-coding RNA is filed under the name Sorghum bicolor (sorghum). RNAcentral describes it as "long non-coding RNA (SBIC_LNC004769)". Lineage: Eukaryota; Viridiplantae; Streptophyta; Magnoliopsida; Poales; Poaceae. The record is from RNAcentral.